UACGGAGGAUGCAAGCGUUAUCCGGAAUCAUUGGGCGUAAAGCGUUCGUAAGUGGCUGUGCAAGUCUGCCGUUAAAGACAGUGGCUUAACCACUGAAAGGCGGUGGAAACUGCGCAGCUAGAGUGCGGUAGGGGUAGAGGGAAUUCCCGAUGUAGCGGUGAAAUGCGUAGAGAUCGGGAAGAACACCAGUGGCGAAAGCGCUCUACUGGGCCUGCACUGACACUGAGGGACGAAAGCUAGGGGAGCGAAUGGG
This 253-nucleotide ribosomal RNA is filed under the name uncultured bacterium. RNAcentral describes it as "partial 16S ribosomal RNA". It matches the Rfam family "Bacterial small subunit ribosomal RNA", at positions 524 to 776 of the family's 1533-position model. The record is from RNAcentral.